Oncorhynchus keta (chum salmon) is the source of this 3431-nucleotide long non-coding RNA. RefSeq lists it as uncharacterized. The record is from RefSeq and is a predicted model, not a curated record. The transcript is spliced from 4 exons. NCBI's taxonomy places the organism in Eukaryota, Metazoa, Chordata, Actinopteri, Salmoniformes, Salmonidae.
AUGCUGUUGUCUGCCUCCUAAACAGAGUUAAACAAAUAUAACCACUACCUACAGGCUAAACCUACGCUGUGUUGUCUGCCUCCUAAUCAGAGUUAAACAAAUAUAACCACUACCUACAGGCUAAACCUACACUGUGUUGUCUGCCUCCUAAUCAGAGUUAAACUAAUAUAACCACUACCUACAGGCUAAACCUACGCUGUGUUGUCUGUAAUCAGAGUUAAACUAAUAUAACCACUACCUACAGGCUAAACCUACGCUGUGUUGUCUGCCUCCUAAACAGAGUUAAACAAAUAUAACCACUACCUACAGGCUAAACCUACACUGUGUUGUCUGCCUCCUAAUCAGAGUUAAACAUAUUUCAGGCUGAUCUGAUAGAACAACUAGAGCCUAUAUGUAAUAAAAGGUUUGCGCAUUUCAAACUGUCCUUUUGUGAGGCGCAGCCGGGAACUAGUUCUGUAAGAUGGAGAGGUGGGGAGGAUAAACAGGGAGCAUUUCCUGUCAUCGUUCACAUCUCCAGUUUGACAACAUUUUGGGUUCCUAGUAGAUUACAGUGGUGAUGGACAGAGAGCAUGUCUCCACGCUCAUCUAGAAUAGAUUACAGUGGUGAUGGACAGAGAGCAUGUCUCCACGCUCAUCUAGACUAGAUUAGAGGUGAUGGACAGAGAGCAUGUCUCCACGCUCAUCUAGAAUAGAUUACAGUGGUGAUGGACAGAGAGCAUGUCUCCACGCUCAUCUAGAAUAGAUUACAGUGGUGAUGGACAGAGAGCAUGUCUCCACUCUCAUCUAGAAUAGAUUACAGAGGUGAUGGACAGAGAGCAUGUCUCCACUCUCAUCUAGAAUAGAUUAGAGGUGAUGGACAGAGAGCAUGUCUCCACUCUCAUCUAGAAUAGAUUAGAGGUGAUGGACAGAGAGCAUGUCUCCACGCUCAUCUAGACUAGAUUAGAGGUGAUGGACAGAGAGCAUGUCUCCACUCUCAUCUAGAAUAGAUUACAGAGGUGAUGGACAGAGAGCAUGUCUCCACUCUCAUCUAGAAUAGAUUAGAGGUGAUGGACAGAGAGCAUGUCUCCACGCUCAUCUAGAGUAGAUUACAGAGGUGAUGGACAGAGAGCAUGUCUCCACGCUCAUCUAGAAUAGAUUACAGUGGUGAUGGACAGAGAGCAUGUCUCCACGCUCAUCUAGAGUAGAUUACAGUGGUGAUGGACAGAGAGCAUGUCUCCACGCUCAUCUAGAGUAGAUUACAGUGGUGAUGGACAGAGAGCAUGUCUCCACGCUCAUCUAGAAUAGAUUACAGUGGUGAUGGACAGAGAGCAUGUCUCCACGCUCAUCUAGAAUAGAUUACAGUGGUGAUGGACAGAGAGCAUGUCUCCACGCUCAUCUAGAAUAGAUUACAGUGGUGAUGGACAGAGAGCAUGUCUCCACGCUCAUCUAGAAUAGAUUACAGUGGUGAUGGACAGAGAGCAUGUCUCCACGCUCAUCUAGAAUAGAUUACAGUGGUGAUGGACAGAGAGCAUGUCUCCACGCUCAUCUAGAAUAGAUUAGAGGUGAUGGACAGAGAGCAUGUCUCCACGCUCAUCUAGAAUAGAUUACAGAGGUGAUGGACAGAGAGCAUGUCUCCACGCUCAUCUAGAAUAGAUUACAGAGGUGAUGGACAGAGAGCAUGUCUCCACGCUCAUCUAGAAUAGAUUACAGAGGUGAUGGACAGAGAGCAUGUCUCCACGCUCAUCUAGAGUAGAUUACAGAGGUGAUGGACAGAGAGCAUGUCUCCACGCUCAUCUAGAGUAGAUUACAGAGGUGAUGGACAGAGAGCAUGUCUCCACGCUCAUCUAGAAUAGAUUACAGAGGUGAUGGACAGAGAGCAUGUCUCCACGCUCAUCUAGAAUAGAUUACAGUGGUGAUGGACAGAGAGCAUGUCUCCACUCUCAUCUAGAAUAGAUUACAGUGGUGAUGGACAGAGAGCAUGUCUCCACGCUCAUCUAGAAUAGAUUACAGAGGUGAUGGACAGAGAGCAUGUCUCCACGCUCAUCUAGAAUAGAUUACAGUGGUGAUGGACAGAGAGCAUGUCUCCACGCUCAUCUAGAAUAGAUUACAGUGGUGAUGGACAGAGAGCAUGUCUCCACGCUCAUCUAGAAUAGAUUACAGUGGUGAUGGACAGAGAGCAUGUCUCCACGCUCAUCUAGAAUAGAUUACAGUGGUGAUGGACAGAGAGCAUGUCUCCACGCUCAUCUAGAAUAGAUUACAGUGGUGAUGGACAGAGAGCAUGUCUCCACGCUCAUCUAGAAUAGAUUACAGUGGUGAUGGACAGAGAGCAUGUCUCCACUCUCAUCUAGAAUAGAUUACAGUGGUGAUGGACAGAGAGCAUGUCUCCACGCUCAUCUAGAAUAGAUUACAGAGGUGAUGGACAGAGAGCAUGUCUCCACGCUCAUCUAGAAUAGAUUACAGUGGUGAUGGACAGAGAGCAUGUCUCCACGCUCAUCUAGAAUAGAUUACAGAGGUGAUGGACAGAGAGCAUGUCUCCACGCUCAUCUAGAAUAGAUUACAGUGGUGAUGGACAGAGAGCAUGUCUCCACGCUCAUCUAGACUAGAUUACAGUGGUGAUGGACAGAGAGCAUGUCUCCACGCUCAUCUAGAAUAGAUUACAGAGGUGAUGGACAGAGAGCAUGUCUCCACGCUCAUCUAGAAUAGAUUAGAGGUGAUGGACAGAGAGCAUGUCUCCACGCUCAUCUAGAAUAGAUUACAGUGGUGAUGGACAGAGAGCAUGUCUCCACGCUCAUCUAGAAUAGAUUACAGUGGUGAUGGACAGAGAGCAUGUCUCCACGCUCAUCUAGAAUAGAUUACAGAGGUGAUGGACAGAGAGCAUGUCUCCACGCUCAUCUAGAAUAGAUUAGAGGUGAUGGACAGAGAGCAUGUCUCCACGCUCAUCUAGAAUAGAUUACAGUGGUGAUGGACAGAGAGCAUGUCUCCACGCUCAUCUAGAAUAGAUUACAGAGGUGAUGGACAGAGAGCAUGUCUCCACGCUCAUCUAGAAUAGAUUACAGUGGUGAUGGACAGAGAGCAUGUCUCCACGCUCAUCUAGAAUAGAUUAUAGUGGUGAUGGACAGAGAGCAUGUCUCCACACUCAUCUAGAAUAGAUUAUAGUGGUGAUGGACAGAGAGCAUGUCUCCACGCUCAUCUAGAAUAGAUUACAGUGGUGAUGGACAGAGAGCAUGUCUCCACGCUCAUCUAGAAUAGAUUACAGUGGUGAUGGACAGAGAGCAUGUCUCCACGCUCAUCUAGAAUAGAUUACAGUGGUGAUGGACAGAGAGCAUGUCUCCACGCUCAUCUAGAAUAGAUUACAGUGGUGAUGGACAGAGAGCAUGUCUCCACGCUCAUCUAGAAUAGAUUACAGUGGUGAUGGACAGAGAGCAUGUCUCCACGCUCAUCUAGAAUAGAUU